This is a long non-coding RNA of Manihot esculenta (cassava), 2651 nucleotides long. RefSeq lists it as uncharacterized. The record is from RefSeq and is a predicted model, not a curated record. The transcript is spliced from 3 exons. NCBI's taxonomy places the organism in Eukaryota, Viridiplantae, Streptophyta, Magnoliopsida, Malpighiales, Euphorbiaceae.
GCAAUGGUAGUUAAUUUAUUGUACUUCAAGAAGGAGUUUUACUUACGUACUAGUAAUGCAUUCAUAAUUUUCUCUUUCUCCUCAUGAAAAAUAAAAGCAUUUGGUUAUUUCUGCUUCUCCUCUGUCUGUGAACUGUUAUCUUUUAUAAUUAUAUGUAUAUUUUAUAGUUUUUCUAUUUCUUCCUUUCUUUUCUCUGCACGCAUUUUAUUCCUUUUCUUUUUCUUGAUGAAUUCGGUUUGGUGAAAUUGAUCAAAGCUCUGCUGCUGGAGGAAAAUGCAAAGAUACUGCACUUCAAAGGAAGAAAAUCUUGCAGGAAGAGAAGGAAAGGUUUUGGAAAGCUGCUUUCACUGUAUUGGAUACGAUCAAUAACAGAUGCUAUAGAAGUUUGCUGGCCCAUAACAGCUGACUUUCCUCCUGCUUCAUGUCUCUCUCGCUCUAUCGGUAUCUCUUCCUUUCCCUCUAUACUUUGGCAUGUCUAUAAUUUAUUAAUAUUCUUAUAUUCGGAAAUCCAGAAUGGUACAACAUACCAUUCUCGUGUUUCAAUCCGUUAUGUUAUUAGAAUAAUAUUUAAACUUUUAUUGAGAGGUCCUGUUUUGUCUUCCAAAACUUAUUUUAAAUUCCAAGGCCAUAAGAUUCUCUGCAUAACUGUUGAUUAGCCUGAUUCUUUUGCAGCCAGAUGCUAACUCCAUAGAAAUUAUUUGUCUGACAUUAGUUAUAUUAGUCAGAGAUGAAGAAAUACCUCUACAUUCAUGUCACGCAGCAAUUCCAUCAGGAAGGGUAUUUCUUUUUGCAUCUCUUGUUUUAAGCCCUUCAAGUACUGAAAACAAAGAAACCAGCAUAAAUAUUGAAGUGAUUGUAAUUGGUGUGCUAUGAGAAUGACAAAUAAUUCUUCUAAAACCUGAAUAAAGUUGGAGAUAAUUGUUUUUCCAUCUUCACUUUCUGGUUGCACCAUUAGUUUGAAAUGGUGAUGGCUCAUCCUGAUGACCUGGGAAAGCCUCUUGGUCCUCAUCGUAAAAGGUUGUGGGAUAUUAAAAAUAACUCCUAUUUCUCCUGCCACAUCUGCAGCCCCUAGUUUUGACAAAACCUGAAGAACUCUUGUCAGCAUUGAUAAAGGUUUGUUAAUUGCAAAUCAUUAGGAUAACAGGCUUCAGUUAGCUUGCUUUAUAUAUUGAAUUUUUGUAAAGGUUCCGAAACUUAAGACACUGGAAUAUGUUGACAUGUGCUACAAUCGAGUGAUUAAGUGCCGGAAUUAUUUGCUCUGAAUAUGCUUGUAAAUGUGUAAUCUAACCAUUGUUAGAUUGUUCGUAACAGUAUAUAGCCAUAUGCUUGAAUUAUCAAGCUGUUUGUGCCUUUAUUCCUCUUUUAUGUGGUGUCAGAGCCAAGGAUUUGAACGCUUGUGUCUAACUUCUCUUGUUGUUUCUUAGAAACAAGUCUUCUGCCUCUUCUAGCUGCAAUAGGUUGAGAGUUAUAUAAGCUCAUUACCCAUCCCGUUAGGAGCGCCAGUUGCCAAUCUUUUCUUCUUUCUUUUAUUUUUUAUUCUCCUUCCUCUUCUGUAGAAUGUAUAACAUGAACAGGAUGUCAGGAUCCCUUAAUAAGCGGCCUGUAUUUUCUUUAUUACCUCAUGAAGAUAAUGCUCUCAUAACUUCUGCUUAUUGUUUUGCAUCACGAGAUAUAGCUGAUUGAAGUUUGUUCAGUUAUAUGGUAACCUGUUUGUUGAUUUCAUUCCUCAGGAUCUUGUUGACUGUAAAGUGUGAUCCUGUCAUAGUUGUGUUGGUUAGUUGAAGGUUCAGCAUCAAGGAGAUACUAUGUUUUGUGGAUUUGCUGUGUAGCGUUCACUUUGUCUGCAAACUGGAGUUCUACUUUCAACCAGGUCUAUGUAAAGGCUGAACUAUGCUCUAAAGUGUCAUCCUUGUGUAUGAAGUAUUAAUUCAAGUUAUCGUACACUGUGGAAAGCUAAACAAUUGUUCUCACACAAGUAUGAAGAAAAUUAAAUUUCAUUCAGGAAGUAGUUUGUUGGUUAAAUAUAUUCCGAAAUACCUGCUGUGUUCCAUUCUUGUAUGUGAGCACAUCCUGCAAAAUGAAAUACAGCUCAGGUUUCAAAUCCAAGAGCAUAUAAUAUUUAAUUGCCUGUGAGAAAAAAGAAAAGAGCUGGCCAUACCAAUUCUCCGGACACCAUAAUAUAGAAAUCUGUAGGAAUCUCAUUUUCUAAAAUGAUUUCCACCUUAGGUGGAUAGUAUUCUGCUUUCAUCUCUGAUACCUGAAGAAUAAACGCAAGAAGAUAUUCGUGAAGUUACAAUUGUUUUGGCUGCUUGCAUUAGUCAUAAUUGCCAUUCCUACAUUUAUUUAUUUGAGUGUUUGAUGCAAUUUCUUAUUUACUAAUAUAAAUUACAUGGAGAGCACAGGGUAUAUUUACCAGCUGGAUGACGAGGUCUUCAGAGACUCCUUUGAAUAGAUAGGUGUUUUCAACAGUGCUACGGAAAAGAUGCUGAGCAAUGCUGGAUCUUAUAGCUUUUGGAUUUUGGAUUGAUAGAUGGAAUUUACCAUGGCAAAAGUUCGAACUGCAGCGUGGACAAUAAGAUUUGUCAUGUUUCCUAUUAUAUAAGCGGUGAGACCAAUGUUGAAUAGCAUAUAAAACAUGUUGAAAAUCUUCU